UGAUGCGAUCAUACUAGCAUUAAAGCAUCGGAUCCCAUCAGAACUCCAAAGUUAAGCGUGCUUGGGCGAGAGUAGUACUAGGAUGGGUGACCUCCUGGGAAGUCCUCGUGCUGCAUUCC
Triticum aestivum (bread wheat) is the source of this 119-nucleotide non-coding RNA. Lineage: Eukaryota; Viridiplantae; Streptophyta; Magnoliopsida; Poales; Poaceae. The record is from Rfam.